GAGCAAAAGAGAGAGUGUAUUUUAUUGAUCAAUGGGAAUAUUUACAAAGCUUCUCCAAAGUCUCUGUUUAUAGGCAUAAGAAGUAUAAAUAAAGUAAAGAUCUAAUUCUUAUGACUAUUAGAAUUUAAAGUACAUCAAAACUUAUAUUGAUCUUGAUGGACAUCCACUUAAUAAGAUAUUCAUAAUAAUUUCUAAAUUUUUAUGCAACAAAUAAAUUAUCAUGUAUGUAAUGUCAUGUCAACUUACUAUUUUAUAAAAUACUCGCAAAAAAAGUCACACCAUUUUAAUUAAUGAAUUUUGUGGUUAUUGUUUGAAUUAGGAUUGAAAUUUCAAAUUUUAAAAAAAAUUAUAGGUAUUAAAAAAAUGAUCAAACUGGAGAUUUAGAAUAAAUCCACAACUUAAGUAUAGUACAAGAUUAAUUGUAGUGUUAUUAGUACCUCACCAGAGUGGACCUCGUUGACUAUGACUUUGCCUAUGGCCUGAGCUUGGCAAUUGUUUUCACAUUGGGAUCUGAACUUUUUUUUGUCCAAGUUAGUUCUUAAACUUGGCAAUCUUCCAUAUUGGAGCCUAAACUUAGCAAUUGUUCCCACAUUGGGGGAUGCAUUUUUUUGUCCAAGUUAACUCAUGAUAUUUCCUUGAAAACCCUAAAGUUCAAGCCCCAAAUGUAAAAACAAUUUUCAAAUUUAAUGAUUAACUUAGACAAAAAAAAAAUCCAGACCCCAAUAUCAGAAUAGUUACCAAGUUCAAACUAGAGGUGCUCAUGGGCCGGGCCCAUAAAAAAUUUUAGCCCGUUACCUAGGCCCGGCCCGAAAUAUGGGCUUGAUAUUUUGCCCAGGCCCGUCCCAUGAAAAAAAUAUGAAGCCCAGGCCCGGCCCGGCCCGGCCCGUUUUUUUACUUAAAAGUUAAAACUAAUUAUUUAGUUAAUAACAUUAUAAAAAUAUAAGCACCAUUUUAUGUUAAAAAAUAAAGUAUAGAAACUAAAAUUUAAUCAUUUUGGUAAAAGGAUAUAAAGAUUAAAGUUUAGUUGUAACUUGUAAGCAUAAUGGAAUGAGCAAAGAUCUGAGUUUUGGUAAAAGGAUAUAAACUAGUUAUUUAACUAUGCUAGCCUUGUGAUACAAGAUCAAACUUGUCACAUGUCUUUAAGUAAUACUAAAAAAACACACAUCAUUUAUGAAAAGAUCUGAGUUUGAUUGUUUCGAAGGAAAGGAUGUGAUAGCAACCUCUAAGUGAUAGCAACCUGACUGGGCCUGCUGUUUUUCUGCCUCAAUAGCUUGUUUCUGCAAUAAAACAAAGCAAAAACAAAAAAGAUGAGAUUAAAAUUAUGAAUAACAUGUACAAAAUACAAUGGGAAAUGUUACUACUGCAAGAAGUGAAGUAAUAAUGGAAUGAGCAAAGAGUUGCAGCAUCUACGCCACUAGACUGCAAGAAGUGAAGUAAUAAUGGAAUGAGCAAAGACUCGAUUUUUCAAAGAGCUGGUACUGGGAUUGUCAUACAAGAGAAUUUAAAACAGUGUUGUACUAAGAGAAUUUAAAACAGUGUUGUACAAGCUUGGUCUGUUUUCAUACAAGAAGAAAGAACAUAUGGAUAUAAAUGUAGAUAGGCUCCUUAUAAGAGAAUUUAAAAUAGUGUUGUACUAAGAGAAUUUAAAACAGUGUUCGAGAGCUCAUCAGGUUCACUAAAUUUAAGGAAUACCUCGACCAAUAGAGAUAUGAUCUGUAAAUUCACAAGAAAUAUCAAUAUUAUACAUAAUAGUAAUUAUAGAUAUUGAUCCCAUUAGCUUACAAAAAUGUAUUUUUACUGUGACAGUACAAUCCUUUAUAGAUUGACUUUUCCUCAACAAGACACCAAAUAAACAAAGUUGGAUGUAAUUUAAAUAUAAAAAUUUGUCUUUGUAAAGUUAAAUGGACAAUUUAGGCUUACUCAACCGUUCCAUAUCAUUUUAAAAAUAUAUACUUAAUAAUUUUUAUUUAAACUUUAAACAGUUUUUCUUUUAAUUUGAAAUUAAACAAUUUAUCUAAAAUCUGAUUUUUUUUCUUGAAGUACUAACUUCAUUAAAAAUGGAAAUCGAAGUACGAAUGAAGUCAUUUCCACUGCAUAUAAUCAAACUUCCAAUUCUUGUUAUAAGUGCACGUUGUAAAUACCUAUCUAAUGAGACUUCAACAAGAUUUCACUUUUAUUUUAUUCAAUAUAUUCAUUCAAGGCAAUCAAACAUCCUCAAAAACAUCAAAUUAUAAAUCCAUAUCAAAUCUUCAGAUACAAAAAAGAGAUAUGAAUGAAUCAAGCUAUGAAGGAGAACACCAACCAACAAUGGUCAAACAACAAAGAGAUAAUAAUUAGAUUUCAUAUGGAACAUAAGAACGCAAGCCCAAUCAGCUACCUUCAGUUUUAAAAGGAAUAUGCCACUGAAAGUGAAAACCAAUCCAAAGAAAAUCAAUACAACAUAAUCUCAUCAUUGUUAGCCCUCAUUCUAAAAAAACAUGAACCCAGAAAAAAAACAGGUAGGAGAUUCAGAUCAACAAAGAUCCCAUAUAUAGCACAAAAAACAAACAGAAUUAUCUCAGAAACACAAAAGAACAUUCAAGACCAACCAUUUAUAAAAACACCCAAGAAUAAAAACCACUCAAAUCGCAUGAAAUGAAGAAAGGUCCACUAAUUUAAUCUAUGUUGGAUGAAAGCACAAACAUUGCAAACACAGGAACAUUAACCCAGGAAAGAAAAAAUGGAAGAAUGAAUAAUCUUACCUCUCAAUAGCCAGAUUAUUACAAGAAAGGACUUUAAUAGUCGUGGAGGACCGGACACCGGAGGUGGAAUGGUGGAUCGGUGGAGGUGAUUUUUCGAUUUGGGGAAAAAAAUGGAGGAGGGGAUGGGUUAGGGAUUUAUCAGAUACACGAGAAAUGGGAAAUGGGAAAUGGGAAACGCGAAAUGUAAUAAUAAAUUUUAAAAAUAAAAAAAAUAUUAAUUAUAUCCGGGCCGGCCCGGGCCCAAAAAAUUUUGCCCGAGGCCUGACCCGUU
Molecule: long non-coding RNA, 3012 nt
Filed under: Gossypium barbadense (sea-island cotton)
Lineage: Eukaryota; Viridiplantae; Streptophyta; Magnoliopsida; Malvales; Malvaceae
Description: long non-coding RNA (GBAR_LNC021190)
Source: RNAcentral